AGGAGGAAUGAGAAGGUGGAGCUGUUUUCAUGUACUGCUUCCUACUGGUAUUAACCUCCUACAGCAACAAUGCGGUGCUUGGCAGCUUCCUUUGUCAGUAGGCAAGCAGCUUGCAUUUA
Pelobates fuscus (common spadefoot toad) is the source of this 119-nucleotide small nucleolar RNA. RefSeq annotates it as small nucleolar RNA SNORA47. Lineage: Eukaryota; Metazoa; Chordata; Amphibia; Anura; Pelobatidae. The record is from RefSeq and is a predicted model, not a curated record. The transcript has a single exon.